UUUCAGUGUUCACAUGUUCUGAAGAGCAUUCUGUUGAAAAAUCUUAUAUGUGAAUUGGUCUGCAGAUGACACUUCAGCAUUAAAACAAAAGAUAUCAAGUUUUAAUGAAAAAGAAAGGAAGAAGGAAAAAUGGACCAAAACAGACCUUCAAAUGAACUCUAAAAGUGUUCACAUGUUCUGAAGAGCAUUCUGUUGAAAAAUCUUAUAUGUGAAUUGGUCUGCAGAUGACACUUCAGCAUUAAA
Molecule: long non-coding RNA, 243 nt
Organism: Mytilus trossulus (common blue mussel)
Lineage: Eukaryota; Metazoa; Mollusca; Bivalvia; Mytilida; Mytilidae
Exons: 3
Source: RefSeq, a predicted model, not a curated record